RNAcentral lists this ribosomal RNA (465 nucleotides) under Staphylococcus aureus. RNAcentral describes it as "partial 23S ribosomal RNA". It matches the Rfam family "Bacterial large subunit ribosomal RNA", at positions 540 to 1006 of the family's 2925-position model. Lineage: Bacteria; Bacillati; Bacillota; Bacilli; Caryophanales; Staphylococcaceae. The record is from RNAcentral.
GAAAUAGAACCUGAAACCGUGUGCUUACAAGUAGUCAGAGCCCGUUAAUGGGUGAUGGCGUGCCUUUUGUAGAAUGAACCGGCGAGUUACGAUUUGAUGCAAGGUUAAGCAGUAAAUGUGGAGCCGUAGCGAAAGCGAGUCUGAAUAGGGCGUUUAGUAUUUGGUCGUAGACCCGAAACCAGGUGAUCUACCCUUGGUCAGGUUGAAGUUCAGGUAACACUGAAUGGAGGACCGAACCGACUUACGUUGAAAAGUGAGCGGAUGAACUGAGGGUAGCGGAGAAAUUCCAAUCGAACCUGGAGAUAGCUGGUUCUCUCCGAAAUAGCUUUAGGGCUAGCCUCAAGUGAUGAUUAUUGGAGGUAGAGCACUGUUUGGACGAGGGGCCCCUCUCGGGUUACCGAAUUCAGACAAACUCCGAAUGCCAAUUAAUUUAACUUGGGAGUCAGAACAUGGGUGAUAAGGUCC